RNAcentral lists this ribosomal RNA (254 nucleotides) under uncultured bacterium. Its description in RNAcentral is "partial 16S ribosomal RNA". It matches the Rfam family "Bacterial small subunit ribosomal RNA", at positions 524 to 776 of the family's 1533-position model. The record is from RNAcentral.
UACGGGGGGGAGCACGCGUUGUUCGGAUUUACUGGGCGUAAAGGGCGCGUAGGCGGCGUGACAAGUCACUUGUGAAAUCUCCGGGCUUAACCCGGAGCGGUCAAGUGAUACUGUCGUGCUAGAGUGCGGAAGGGGCUACUGGAAUUCUCGGUGUAGCGGUGAAAUGCGUAGAUAUCGAGAGGAACACCUGCGGCGAAGGCGGGUAGCUGGGCCGACACUGACGCUGAUGCGCGAAAGCCAGGGGAGCGAACGGG